RNAcentral lists this long non-coding RNA (365 nucleotides) under Dasypus novemcinctus (nine-banded armadillo). Its description in RNAcentral is "lncRNA (ENSDNOG00000051400.1)". The record is from RNAcentral. Lineage: Eukaryota; Metazoa; Chordata; Mammalia; Cingulata; Dasypodidae.
GGUCCACCUGACAAGGAAUUAAGGGCAACCCCUAGACAACAGCCAGCAAAAAACCAAGGCCCUCAGUCCAACAACUCUCAAGGGUUCUCCUUCCUCCAGCGCUUGAACUUUGACCCACCCUGGAGGACUGGAAGGUGGAACAAGUGGAACACCUCCUUGAUGGUGCCUGCUGAGAAUGAGCUGACCUCAGAGAGAAACAUUCCCUGGUCACCUGUCUGUCACGCCACUUGCUCAUCCCACACCCCACAUUCUGUUCUUUUCUAGCCUUAUUUACCUUUUUCUGCCUAUUAAAAAAAAGCCCGUUUCUGGCUGACCUUUGAGAUGCUUGCAGAUCUCAAGGUCAGAACAUUCUCCCUAUUGUAAUA